Molecule: ribosomal RNA, 577 nt
Filed under: uncultured bacterium
Lineage: Bacteria
Description: bacterial SSU rRNA
Rfam family: Bacterial small subunit ribosomal RNA
Source: RNAcentral
CCUACGGGAGGCAGCAGUAAGGAAUAUUGGACAAUGCUCGCAAGAGUGAUCCAGCCAUGCCGCGUGCAGGAAGAAUGCCCUAUGGGUAGUAAACUGCUUUUGAACUAGAGAAAAUCCCAGUACGUGUACUGGGCUGAUAGUAUAGUUAGAAUAAGCAUCGGCUAACUUCGUGCCAGCAGCCGCGGUAAGACGAAGGAUGCAAGCGUUAUCCGGAUUCAUUGGGUUUAAAGGGAGCGUAGGUGGACUGAUAAGUCAGUGGUGAAAUCUCCGAGCUUAACUCGGAAAUUGCCAUUGAUACUGUUGGUCUUGAGUACAGUUGCUGUGGGCGGAAUAUGACAUGUAGUGGUGAAAUACAUAGAGAUGUCAUAGAACACCGAUUGCGAAGGCAGCUCACAAAGCUGUAACUGACACUGAGGCUCGAAAGUGCGGGGAUCAAACAGGAUUAGAUACCCUGGUAGUCCGCACCGUAAACGAUGAUUACUCGCUGCUAGGGGGCAACCUUUAGUGGCUUAGCGAAAGCGAUAAGUAAUCCACCUGGGAGUACGCCGGCGACGGUGAACGUCAAAGGAAUUGACGG